Molecule: long non-coding RNA, 1384 nt
Filed under: Laticauda laticaudata (blue-ringed sea krait)
Lineage: Eukaryota; Metazoa; Chordata; Lepidosauria; Squamata; Elapidae
Description: lncRNA (ENSLLTG00000012494.1)
Source: RNAcentral
CUCGGGGCAGGGGCGUUAACCCUUUGGAGAGUCCUCGCCGGCAGCGCCAGGCGGAAAGGAACGAGAUGCGCGCCAGGAAGGGGCGAUCCCCACAAGAGUGGACCCCUCGACGGGCGAUGCCCCCUUGCAAGCUUGAGACCGAGCGCUUCCCUCUCCUGCCUCCGAAACACCCUGACACGCAUCGUAGCGAUAGAAAUCGUGCGAGAAUCCGGUCCCCACGCGGACUGACGGAAACUUGGCAACAAUCCAGAAUAUUUGCAUUAUUGAUUGGAUAUAAUAACAGCAACAGUAAAUAUAAAUAGAUGAAGUCACAAUUAUCUGUGUGUAAAUGUAAAUGAACUAGUGGUGAAUGGCAUCUUUUAAUACAUACAACAUUUGUACACAAGAUUGUAAGCUGAUGUAAAAACAAUUGUCUAGCAAGAAUUAUUUCAUCAUUUAGCACUUCUUUAAGAGUCUUGUAUGUUAAGAAACUACUGAUAUAACUUGUUUGGGCACAGAACCAUUUUCUGAUUUAUAGAGAGCUUUAUAUAGGCUAGUCAGAUGCAAAAAAAAACCCUGUAAUUUAACAAGUUUAAUUCUUCCUUUUUGAAACAUUUUCCCUUUUACAUAAAGCUACUUUUUCUUUGAGAAACAUUUAGCUUCAGGUGCAUGUGGUGUUUGUUCUUAUACAUCAGAUCAAACUAGCUUAUCUCUAGUUGGUAAAAGCCUACCAAUGACUUUCCUAGCUCUGCUAUUAAGGCCUUUUAUGUGUCAAUAUUGGACUAAACUGACCCCGUUUCCUGGGGAAAUGAUAUGCUAUUAAACUAUGAAAGGAGCCCUUUCAUAUGCAAAUACAUUUUGCCUCAAUAUUUUAAUUGGCAUGGCUAGGUGUUCUCAAAUGAACACCUAUAUUUAAGAUAACUGGUAGAAUUAAAUUAUGGGAAGCAAUGAAAUUCUGUGCAAAAUAGAAUGCUACUGCUUUAAAAUUCAGCUGAACUGCUUUCUCUCAAUUGCCAGCAAUUUUUUUUUUCUUCUAGUGUCGAGAGGGAGGAGUUCACUCUUUCCUGUUAGGGUCUUCUAAGGACAGCAUUGGCACAUGAUUGGAACACAAAUGUCACUUAGGUGGGAAGAAAACUGGAGCAGGAUUCUUGACAGCACAUGAUUAGGAAACAAAGUUCUAACCCAAAAUGUAAAAUGCCAGCACAGGAGGUAGUUGUGCACAGUGUAACAUUCUUACUAGAUGACACCAUGAAUUUGUGGUUAUAGAAAGCAUGCUUGCAUCCUAGUUUGCCUUGUUUGCUGGGUAGCUUUUUCACACAAAUGAUGAAUAAUUAAAAGUAUGUCUUAUAGAAUCCAACAGCAAUUGAUUUCGAAUAAAGUUUCAUGAUCUAUGUGGCUAACUCGC